GCGUGAGGUCGGAGUUCAGUCUUCCCAGGCCCACCACUUUCAUCGAGUGAGCAUUCGUCUUCUGGUUACGGGGCCAUAGCUCAGCUGGGAGAGCGCGUGCUUUGCAAGCAUGAGGUCGUCGGUUCGAUCCCGUCUGGCUCCACCAGAUGGUUUGAUCACCGAGAUCUUGACCGUCGUCCGCGAAACAUCACUUCGCAUCCUGCUAGUCUGGAUAGACAGCAGUUUGCGUGUUUUCUGACAUCGUAAAGAGGAGAUCGAUCCGAGUUGGGUCGUGCAGCAUAUCGUUGCGCGAGCCUUCAUUAUCUCCGGAUCAUUUCGGCGCUCGCUUCCAGCCGUGAGGUUGGAUGCGGGUUGUAAAUGAUCCUUUUAGCGAAGCUUGACCGCCUCGCUAUCGGAACGAUCUUACGAAGCAAGCUGGUCUUUCUAGUCAAUGUCCGGCUGCGGAUAGCGUUCAUCGAGGGCGCGUGCCGCAAGGCAAUUCUGCAGACAACAUUCUGCCGAGUGUGUGGACAUUGAUAAUGAGAGCAAUCAAGUGCCUUAAGGGUGUUCGGUGGAUGCCUUGGCGCUGAGAGGCGAUGAAGGACGUGCUACGCUGCGAUAAGCCGUGGGGAGCUGCGAAGAAGCUUUGAUCCGCGGAUUUCCGAAGGGAAAAA
This 653-nucleotide unclassified non-coding RNA is filed under the name uncultured Bradyrhizobium sp. RNAcentral's name for it is "partial 16S-23S ribosomal RNA intergenic spacer". The stretch from base 527 to 653 matches the Rfam family "Bacterial large subunit ribosomal RNA", at positions 1 to 126 of the family's 2925-position model. Lineage: Bacteria; Pseudomonadati; Pseudomonadota; Alphaproteobacteria; Hyphomicrobiales; Nitrobacteraceae. The record is from RNAcentral.